AGUGAACGCUGGCGGCAGGCCUAAUACAUGCAAGUCGAACGGCAGCACAGUGGAGCUUGCUCCAUGGGUGGCGAGUGGCGGACGGGUGAGGAAUACAUGGGAAUCUGCCCAGUCGUGGGGGAUAACGUAGGGAAACUUACGCUAAUACCGCAUGCGCCCUUCGGGGGAAAGCCGGGGACCUUCGGGCCUGGCGCGAUUGGAUGAGCCCAUGUUCGAUUAGCUAGUUGGCGGGGUAAAGGCCCACCAAGGCGACGAUCGAUAGCUGGUCUGAGAGGAUGAUCAGCCACACUGGGACUGAGACACGGCCCAGACUCCGACGGGAGGUAGCAGUAGGGAAUAUUGGACAAUGGGCGCAAGCCUGAUCCAGCCAUGCCGCGUGAGUGAAGAAGGCCCGCGGGUUGUAAAGCGCUUUUGUCCGGGAAGAAAAGCAUCGGGCUAAUACCUCGGUGUUCUGACGGUACCGGAAGAAUAAGCACCGGCUAACUUCGG
This 489-nucleotide ribosomal RNA is filed under the name uncultured bacterium. RNAcentral describes it as "partial 16S ribosomal RNA". It matches the Rfam family "Bacterial small subunit ribosomal RNA", at positions 30 to 506 of the family's 1533-position model. The record is from RNAcentral.